This 480-nucleotide ribosomal RNA is filed under the name uncultured bacterium. Its description in RNAcentral is "bacterial SSU rRNA". It matches the Rfam family "Bacterial small subunit ribosomal RNA", at positions 19 to 518 of the family's 1533-position model. The record is from RNAcentral.
AUGGCUCAGGACGAACGCUGGCGGCGUGCUUAACACAUGCAAGUCGAACGGGAGUAUUGAAGAAGCUUGCUUAGAGAUACUUUAGUGGCGGACGGGUGAGUAACGCGUGAGGAGCUGUCCUAUGCAGGGGGACAACAGCUGGAAACGGCUGCUAAUACCCCAUAAGCCGAGAGGUAAAAGGAUCAAUCCGGCAGAGGAGGUACUCGCGUCCUAUCAGCUAGUAGGUGAGGUAACGGCUCACCUAGGCGAAGACGGGUAGCCGGCCUGAGAGGGCGAACGGCCACACUGGAACUGAGAUACGGUCCAGACUCCUACGGGAGGCAGCAGUGGGGAAUAUUGGGCAAUGGGGGGAAAAACCCCCUGACCCAGCGACGCCGCGUGGGUGAAGAAAUCCUUCGGGAUGUAAAGCCCUGUUGUAUGGGAAGGGCGGAAGACGGUACCAUACGAGGAAGCCCCGGCAAACUACGUGCCAGCCGCAGC